UACGUAGGUGGCGAGCGUUACUCGGAAUUACUAGGCGUAAAGCGUGUGUAGGCGGGAACUUAAGUCUGUCGUUAAAGCUCACGGCUCAACCGUGAAAUGUCGACAGAUACUGGGUUUCUUGAGUGCGGUAGGGGAGAUUGGAAUUCCCGAUGUAGCGGUGAAAUGCGUAGAUAUCGGGAAGAACGCCAAAGGCGAAGGCAGAUCUCUGGGCCGUUACUGACGCUGAGACACGAAAGCUAGGGGAGCAAAUGGG
RNAcentral lists this ribosomal RNA (253 nucleotides) under uncultured bacterium. Its description in RNAcentral is "partial 16S ribosomal RNA". It matches the Rfam family "Bacterial small subunit ribosomal RNA", at positions 524 to 776 of the family's 1533-position model. The record is from RNAcentral.